AGAGUUUGAUCCUGGCUCAGAGCGAACGCUGGCGGCAGGCCUAACACAUGCAAGUCGAGCGCCCCGCAAGGGGAGCGGCAGACGGGAGAGUAACACGUGGGAACGUGCCCUUCAGUUCGGAACAACCCAGGGAAACUUGGGCUGAUACCGGAUACGUCCGUAAGGAGAAAGAUUUAUCGCUGAAGGAUCGGCCCGCGUCUGAUUAGCUAGUUGGUGGGGUAAUGGCCCACCAAGGCGACGAUCAGUAGCUGGUCUGAGAGGAUGAUCAGCCUCACUGGGACUGAGACACGGCCCAGACUCCUACGGGAGGCAGCAGUGGGGAAUAUUGGACAAUGGGCGCAAGCCUGAUCCAGCCAUGCCGCGUGGAUGAUGACGGCCUUAGGGUUGUAAAGUCCUUUCGGCGGGGAAGAUAAUGACGGUACCCGCAGAAGAAGCCCCGGCUAACUUCGUGCCAGCAGCCGCGGUAAUACGAAGGGGGCUAGCGUUGCUCGGAAUCACUGGGCGUAAAGCGCACGUAGGCGGCUUUUUAAGUCAGGGGUGAAAUCCUGGAGCUCAACUCCAGAACUGCCUUUGAUACUGAGAAGCUUGAGUCCGGGAGAGGUGAGUGGAACUGCGAGUGUAGAGGUGAAAUUCGUAGAUAUUCGCAAGAACACCAGUGGCGAAGGCGGCUCACUGGCCCGGUACUGACGCUGAGGUGCGAAAGCGUGGGGAGCAAACAGGAUUAGAUACCCCCGUAGUCC
This 740-nucleotide ribosomal RNA is filed under the name uncultured bacterium. RNAcentral's name for it is "bacterial SSU rRNA". It matches the Rfam family "Bacterial small subunit ribosomal RNA", at positions 8 to 796 of the family's 1533-position model. The record is from RNAcentral.